Molecule: ribosomal RNA, 253 nt
Filed under: uncultured bacterium
Lineage: Bacteria
Description: partial 16S ribosomal RNA
Rfam family: Bacterial small subunit ribosomal RNA
Source: RNAcentral
UACGGAGGGGGCGAGCGUUAUUCGGAAUUAUUGGGCGUAAAGGGCGCGUAGGCGGCUUGACAAGUCAAAGGUGAAAUCCCUCGGCUCAACUGAGGAACUGCCUUUGAAACUGUCUGGCUUGAGGCCGGGAGGAGGUAGCGGAAUUCCCAGUGUAGCGGUGAAAUGCGUAGAUACUGGGAGGAACACCAGUGGCGAAGGCGGCUACCUGGACCGGUUCUGACGCUGAGGCGCGAAAGCGUGGGUAGCAAACAGG